GGGGAACCGGAUAAUUACCUCUGUACGGCCGGGCAUUAUGGCCCUCCCAGCUAAUAACUCAGCUAAAAUACAACCUGCACUCCAAAGGUCGAUGCCUACACCAUAGUGAGUUGCACCAAGUAGAAGCUCGGGGGAUCGAUACCAUAAGGUUACAACACGAUUAGUCAAUGGGUGCUUGUGUUUUGGAUCAAAGAAAGUAGCUAGUCCAAAGUCAGCAAUCUUAAGCAACCCUUCACCAUCAAUAAGAAGAUUUGAACCCUUAAUAUCGCGAUGAAGCACCCUGUGGCUGUGACAAUGCUCAAGUCCUGAUAGAAGUUGUUGCAUGAAACACUUAACCUGAGCCUCUGUAAAUUUGAUAGAUGGAUUUGCAGCAAGACCAGCUAAAUCAUGCUCCAUGUAC
RNAcentral lists this unclassified non-coding RNA (400 nucleotides) under Hevea brasiliensis (rubber tree). The record is from RNAcentral. Lineage: Eukaryota; Viridiplantae; Streptophyta; Magnoliopsida; Malpighiales; Euphorbiaceae.